AGCGUAGGCGGUGUGGUAAGUCUGGUGUGAAACCUCUGGGCUCAACCCAGAGCUGGCAUCAGAUACUGCCGUGCUAGAGUGCGGGAGAGGAGAGUGGAAUUCCCGGUGUAGCGGUGAAAUGCGUAGAUAUCGGGAGGAACAUCGGUGGCGAAGGCGGCUCUCUGGACCGCAACUGACGCUGAGGCUCGAAAGCCAGGGGAGCAAACAGGAUUAGAUACCCUGGUAGUCCUGGCUGUAAACGAUGAACACUUGGUAUAGCGGGUAUCGAAUCCCGCUGUGCCGGAGCUAACGCAUUAAGUGUUCCGCCUGGGGAGUACGGUCGCAAGGCUGAA
RNAcentral lists this ribosomal RNA (332 nucleotides) under uncultured bacterium. RNAcentral's name for it is "bacterial SSU rRNA". It matches the Rfam family "Bacterial small subunit ribosomal RNA", at positions 568 to 898 of the family's 1533-position model. The record is from RNAcentral.